GGAGGUGGGGGGACACACAGCAAAGAGGACAGAGCAUCUGCUUUGUAAACAGAAGGUUCCAGGUUCAAUCCCUGGCAUCUCCU
Podarcis lilfordi (Lilford's wall lizard) is the source of this 83-nucleotide non-coding RNA. Lineage: Eukaryota; Metazoa; Chordata; Lepidosauria; Squamata; Lacertidae. The record is from the annotation of a GenBank genome assembly.